GAUGAACGCUAGCUACAGGCUUAACACAUGCAAGUCGAGGGGAAACGACAUCGAAAGCUUGCUUUUGAUGGGCGUCGACCGGCGCACGGGUGAGUAACGCGUAUCCAACCUGCCCAUCACUUGGGAAUAACCUUGCGAAAGUAAGACUAAUACCCAAUGACAUCCCACGAAGACAUCUGAAUGGGAUUAAAGAUUUAUCGGUGAUGGAUGGGGAUGCGUCUGAUUAGCUUGUUGGCGGGGUAACGGCCCACCAAGGCAACGAUCAGUAGGGGUUCUGAGAGGAAGGUCCCCCACAUUGGAACUGAGACACGGUCCAAACUCCUACGGGAGGCAGCAGUGAGGAAUAUUGGUAAAUGGGCGAGAGCCUGAACCAGCCAAGUAGCGUGCAGGAUGACGGCCCUAUGGGUUGUAAACUGCUUUUAUAAGGGAAUAAAGUGGGUCUCGUGAGACUUUUUGCAUGUACCUUAUGAAUAAGGACCGGCUAAUUCCGUG
Molecule: ribosomal RNA, 492 nt
Filed under: uncultured bacterium
Lineage: Bacteria
Description: partial 16S ribosomal RNA
Rfam family: Bacterial small subunit ribosomal RNA
Source: RNAcentral